CCUACGUGGUGCAGCAGUGGGGAAUAUUGGACAAUGGGCGAAAGCCUGAUCCAGCCAUGCCGCGUGUGUGAAGAAGGCCUUCGGGUUGUAAAGCACUUUCAGUGGGGAAGAAAGCCUUGGGGCUAAUACCCUCGAGGAAGGACAUCACCCACAGAAGAAGCACCGGCUAACUCCGUGCCAGCAGCCGCGGUAAUACGGAGGGUGCGAGCGUUAAUCGGAAUUACUGGGCGUAAAGCGCGCGUAGGCGGUCUGAUAAGCCGGUUGUAAAAGCCCCGGGAUCAACCUGGGAACGGCAUCCGGAACUGUCAGGCUAGAGUGCAGGAGAGGAAGGUAGAAUUCCCGGUGUAGCGGUGAAAUGCGUAGAGAUCGGGAGGAAUACCAGUGGCGAAGGCGGCCUUCUGGACUGACACUGACGCUGAGGUGCGAAAGCGUGGGUAGCAAACAGGAUUAGAUACCCCAGUAGUC
Molecule: ribosomal RNA, 465 nt
Filed under: Vreelandella stevensii
Lineage: Bacteria; Pseudomonadati; Pseudomonadota; Gammaproteobacteria; Oceanospirillales; Halomonadaceae
Description: partial 16S ribosomal RNA
Rfam family: Bacterial small subunit ribosomal RNA
Source: RNAcentral